GACGAACGCUGGCGGCGUGCUUAACACAUGCAAGUCGAACGGAAAGGCCCUGCUUUUGUGGGGUGCUCGAGUGGCGAACGGGUGAGUAACACGUGAGUAACCUGCCCUUGACUUUGGGAUAACUUCUGGAAACUGGGGCUAAUAUCGGAUAGGAGCUCCCGCUGCAUGGUGGGGGUUGGAAAGUUUCGGCGGUUGGGGCUGGACUCGCGGCUUACCAGCUUGUUGGGGGGGUAGUGGCUUACCAAGGCAUUGAAGGGUAGCCGGCCUGAGAGCGUGACCGGCGACAUUGGUACUGAGAUACGGCGCAGAAGCCUACGGGAGGCAGCAGGGGGGAAUAUUGCAGAAUGGGGGGAAGCGUGAUGCAGCAAUGCCGCGUGCGGGAUGACGUCCUUCGGGUUGUAAACCGCUUUCGACUGUGACGAAGCGUGAGUGACGGUAAUGGGUAAGGAAGCACCGGCUAACUACGUG
RNAcentral lists this ribosomal RNA (468 nucleotides) under uncultured bacterium. RNAcentral's name for it is "partial 16S ribosomal RNA". It matches the Rfam family "Bacterial small subunit ribosomal RNA", at positions 28 to 507 of the family's 1533-position model. The record is from RNAcentral.